UCAUGUUUGUGCCCUAGCUUGCUCUCGUCCACAGCAUCCCCUCCCUCCUGCACCACCGCUCUCGGUCGUCGCUUUCCUCUAUCUUGUGGCAUGAGUGCCCGGCAGCCGCUCCCCUCUCUGUUGUGCCCCUGAUCCCGGCAGCCACUCCCCACUAUCGUGUGCCUCCCCUGUCGGCCGUCGAUCAUCGUUCUUUCUCUCGUGUGCCUCCACUAUACUACCUUACUCUCAAGCAUUGGAGAAAUUUCAGCCGCAUAUCCAACAGGUUAGUAUGAAGAGUAAUGGGAAGGGUGUUUCUAUUGAUGGCAUCCCUCUUUAAUUUGAGACCGGUGAAAUUGACUGAAUGACGCUGCCAACUUCUUUGAUUAUAGGCUUAUUAAUGUUUGUGUUGCUUUGCUAAGCUUUAGCUUUUGGAUUUGGAAGAAUUUCUUAACUUUUUUUUCCAUCCUGAUUUGCUGCUUAUCUGUCAUUUACCAUCAAAUAUUUCUAAUUGUGUUCUAUACAGAACUGGAAUUCUCAGCUUUCUGAAUUAUUACUUUACUAGGGUCUUUUUGGAUUAUUUAUUUGGAUAUGAAUGCAUGUGUGAAAUGAAAAAUGUAAACUAAACAAACACAAAUAGAUUGAGAGAGGUUUUGAGAUGUGAUGUGCUUAAUUCUUCUUGCUCACAGGAAAGAUACUUGCUGAGUUUGAAUUGUGACAAAUAUGUGAUAAUAGUUUGUUCUUUUUCUGAAAACAAUUUGAGCUUAUAGAUGUACACCAUAGCUUGUCAAGCAAUUUGUUUGAUCUUGGAUUCGACAAAAUAGGGGAUGAAUUAAGGUGGAUUAGAAUAAAUAUAUUUCCUUCUUAAACCUGCCUUAUUCUGUUGUUGUUUAUCUACUUAUGUUCAUUUAGUCUGUUGUGCAUUUUUACUGCAAAUAUAUUUCCUUUCCAGUUAUUUGUUGAAUAUCAUUAUUUGAUGCAUGAAUUUCUUGUGACUAACAUGGAAGGAUUAUUCCUUGUGAUUUUAUUGGUGUCAUGAGGAGCAAGCAACCAAUUUAUUUGAAAGGUGAGGUGGUGAGCAACCAUGAAUACAACUUAACACGUCGUUUAUUGUAUUUUAUUUUUAGAUCGAUGGCAAGAUUCAUGACAAAUCAGACAAAGUAUACACUGGAUAGUGUUCCAUAUCCAACUCAAACUCCAUGACUUGUCUUUUUUAUAUAUAUAUUUAUUGUAUGAUAAUCAUGUAUAUAAUCCUGCAAGUUUGUUUUUUCCUUUGAGCAA
This is a long non-coding RNA of Dioscorea cayenensis subsp. rotundata (Guinea yam), 1257 nucleotides long. RefSeq lists it as uncharacterized. The transcript is spliced from 3 exons. Lineage: Eukaryota; Viridiplantae; Streptophyta; Magnoliopsida; Dioscoreales; Dioscoreaceae. The record is from RefSeq and is a predicted model, not a curated record.